RNAcentral lists this ribosomal RNA (660 nucleotides) under uncultured Actinomycetes bacterium. Its description in RNAcentral is "SSU rRNA". It matches the Rfam family "Bacterial small subunit ribosomal RNA", at positions 245 to 915 of the family's 1533-position model. The record is from RNAcentral. Lineage: Bacteria; Bacillati; Actinomycetota; Actinomycetes.
CUUGUUGGUGGGGUGAUGGCCUACCAAGGCGACGACGGGUAGCCGGCCUGAGAGGGCGACCGGCCACACUGGGACUGAGACACGGCCCAGACUCCUACGGGAGGCAGCAGUGGGGAAUAUUGCACAAUGGGCGGAAGCCUGAUGCAGCGACGCCGCGUGAGGGAUGACGGCCUUCGGGUUGUAAACCUCUUUCAGCCCUGACGAAGCGCAAGUGACGGUAGGGGCAGAAGAAGCGCCGGCCAACUACGUGCCAGCAGCCGCGGUAAGACGUAGGGCGCGAGCGUUGUCCGGAUUUAUUGGGCGUAAAGAGCUCGUAGGCGGCUUGUCGCGUCGGCUGUGAAAUCCCGUGGCUCAACUGCGGGCUUGCAGCCGAUACGGGCAGGCUAGAGUUCGGUAGGGGAGACUGGAAUUCCUGGUGUAGCGGUGAAAUGCGCAGAUAUCAGGAGGAACACCGGUGGCGAAGGCGGGUCUCUGGGCCGAUACUGACGCUGAGGAGCGAAAGCGUGGGGAGCGAACAGGAUUAGAUACCCUGGUAGUCCACGCUGUAAACGUUGGGCGCUAGGUGUGGGGGGCCUCUCCGGUUCUCUGUGCCGCAGCUAACGCAUUAAGCGCCCCGCCUGGGGAGUACGGCCGCAAGGCUAAAACUCAAAGGAAUUGACG